AGUCCAGACUCCUACGGGAGGCAGCAGUGGGGAAUAUUGCACAAUGGGGGGAACCCUGAUGCAGCAACGCCGCGUGGGUGAAGAAGUAUUUCGGUAUGUAAAGCCCUAUCAGCAGGGAAGAAGAUGACGGUACCUGACUAAGAAGCCCCGGCUAAAUACGUGCCAGCAGCCGCGGUAAUACGUAUGGGGCAAGCGUUAUCCGGAUUUACUGGGUGUAAAGGGAGCGCAGGCGGCGCGGCAAGUCAGAUGUGAAAGCCCGGGGCUCAACCCCGGGACUGCAUUUGAAACUGCCGUGCUGGAGUGUCGGAGAGGCAAGUGGAAUUCCUAGUGUAGCGGUGAAAUGCGUAGAUAUACGGAGGAACACCAGUGGCGAAGGCGGAUUGCUGGACAGUAACUGACGCUGAGGCGCGAAAGCGUGGGGAGCAAACAGGAUUAGAUACCCGCGUAUAA
RNAcentral lists this ribosomal RNA (450 nucleotides) under uncultured bacterium. RNAcentral describes it as "bacterial SSU rRNA". It matches the Rfam family "Bacterial small subunit ribosomal RNA", at positions 328 to 793 of the family's 1533-position model. The record is from RNAcentral.